UACGGAGGGUGCGAGCGUUAAUCGGAAUUACUGGGCGUAAAGCGCGCGUAGGCGGCCAACUAAGUCGGUUGUGAAAGCCCCGGGCUCAACCUGGGAAUGGCAGUCGAUACUGGUUGGCUGGAGUAUGGGAGAGGACAGUGGAAUUCCAGGUGUAGCGGUGAAAUGCGUAGAGAUCUGGAGGAACAUCAGUGGCGAAGGCGACUGUCUGGCCUGAUACUGACGCUGAGGUGCGAAAGCGUGGGGAGCAAACAGG
Molecule: ribosomal RNA, 253 nt
Filed under: uncultured bacterium
Lineage: Bacteria
Description: partial 16S ribosomal RNA
Rfam family: Bacterial small subunit ribosomal RNA
Source: RNAcentral